Molecule: ribosomal RNA, 253 nt
Filed under: uncultured bacterium
Lineage: Bacteria
Description: partial 16S ribosomal RNA
Rfam family: Bacterial small subunit ribosomal RNA
Source: RNAcentral
UACGUAGGGUGCGAGCGUUAAUCGGAAUUACUGGGCGUAAAGCGUGCGCAGGCGGUUCGUUGCGUCUGAUGUGAAAGCCCCGGGCUCAACCUGGGAAUGGCAUUGGAAACUGGCGAGCUGGAGUGUGGCAGAGGGGGGUGGAAUUCCGCGUGUAGCAGUGAAAUGCGUAGAGAUGCGGAGGAACACCGAUGGCGAAGGCAGCCCCCUGGGCCAACACUGACGCUCAGGCACGAAAGCGUGGGGAGCAAACAGG